CCUACGGGUGGCAGCAGUGGGGAAUAUUGGACAAUGGGCGAAAGCCUGAUCCAGCCAUGCCGCGUGUGUGAAGAAGGCCUUCGGGUUGUAAAGCACUUUCAGUGGGGAAGAAAGCCUUGGGGCUAAUACCCUCGAGGAAGGACAUCACCCACAGAAGAAGCACCGGCUAACUCCGUGCCACCAGCCGCGGUAAUACGGAGGGUGCGAGCGUUAAUCGGAAUUACUGGGCGUAAAGCGCGCGUAGGCGGUCUGAUAAGCCGGUUGUGAAAGCCCCGGGCUCAACCUGGGAACGGCAUCCGGAACUGUCAGGCUAGAGUGCAGGAGAGGAAGGUAGAAUUCCCGGUGGAGCGGUGAAAUGCGUAGAGAUCGGGAGGAAUACCAGUGGCGAAGGCGGCCUUCUGGACUGACACUGACGCUGAGGUGCGAAAGCGUGGGUAGCAAACAGGAUUAGAUACCCGGGUAGUC
Molecule: ribosomal RNA, 465 nt
Filed under: Vreelandella stevensii
Lineage: Bacteria; Pseudomonadati; Pseudomonadota; Gammaproteobacteria; Oceanospirillales; Halomonadaceae
Description: partial 16S ribosomal RNA
Rfam family: Bacterial small subunit ribosomal RNA
Source: RNAcentral